AUAGCAAAAGCGAAGAUCGUUGCAGACAUGGUUGCUGCCACUGGUACCAUGGACACUGCCAAAGAUGCUGUCGAACUGCCGAGGAGACCCCUGAAGUCACAUCUGGAGAUGAGGAUACCGUAACCGCAGAUCGUUGCAGACAUGGUUGCUGCCGCUGGUACCAUGGACAUUGCCAAAAAUGCUGUCCACCUGAAGAUCGUUGCAGACAUGGUUGCUGCCACUGGUACCAUGGACAUUGCCAAAGAUGCUGUCCACCUGCUGAGGAGACCCCUGAACAUCGUUGCAGACAUGGUUGCUGCCGCUGGUACCAUGGACAUUGCCAAAGAUGCUGUCCGCCUGCUGAGGAGACUUGCAGACAUGGUUGCUGCCACUGGUACCAUGGACAUUGCCAAAGAUGCUGUCGAACUGCUGAGCAGACCCCUGAAGCUACAUCCGGAGAUGAGGUCAAAAAUUAACGCUAAAUAAAUAAGGGCGUGACACAGGAUCCGUGACACCUAUAUUAUUACCUUAAUAUGUUAUGUUGUGUUUGCUUUUAAUGGUUGAUUUCCUAUAUGUGUAAAAGACUUGUGCGGCUUCUCUUUGAAUUGGUGUAGAAUCAACGGGGGAAGCAUGUAAUGAGUAUUCAGUUCGAGUGCUCUUCUUAUGUUGUUGUCAUGUUGAAUAAAUAAAUCUACUUGAUCAUCUACUACAAUUGAUGAUCUUCUUAUGUUUUUUUUUCACUUUAUCUUCCUUCAAGAUUUUUGGUGGAAAUGCUUCAUUUAUACGAAUUUUCCUAGUUAGUAAAUGCUUCUAUUACACUUGUACAAUACACAUUUAAAAGUAUAACACAACAAAAGCUUGUGUAGUUCAUAUAUUUAAAAAAUAUUCAUACUUUUCAACUAAACUAUAAAAAUAUGUAAUAAAUUCUUUAUACAUUAUACUUUACGAACUAUACUUUAAAUUUUAAAAAUAUUUAAUAGUAUCACUUAUCAAUAACUCCACAUGUUAAUUUGUCUUCCAAUUCAGUAAAUUAUAGUAGCUAAUUCUCAAAGCUAACCGACACCAAAAUUCCCUCACUUGUUCAGCUCCUAGUGGAUUUAUAUUAAUUACAUUGCAUUUAUUUCCUAAGCAUGAGUUUUGUAACCCCUCAUAUUAAAUCUCAAUGAUUGAUUUUAACGGUUACCCAGGCGUCUAGUAAUUGGUUUGCUAUUAAUUUGAACUAGACAUUUAUUAGGUCUAGUAGAAUUUAUUCCUUCUUAUCACUUAGUUCAUAAACCUUACGAAUCGUUAAAACCAGCUCUAACAUCAGCUAACAAGACUUCUACAAUUUCGGGUUUUGCUUAGAAAUCAGUCUGAUAGGUUAACUUGCUUCGUCCAACUUUAUGAGUUGCUUCUUUUUUCUUUUUUUUUCCAUAUUUGACAUUUCAUCUUACUUUAAUAUGGGGACCAAGUUAGUAUUGUUGACAUUUCAUAUCUAAGACUUCUUAAUUAAUUGAUUUGUUAUAAGAACUAUAACGUAUGCGUGUUUUGUAAGCUUUCAUGUUUUUUUAUUUUUUCAAUUCUUGUGGACCAGCAACGGAUAGUUUCUUCUAGUACCAAUCUUCCUUUGAAGUUCUUUAAUUUUUUUUUUGUGUCCAAAUGUAAAUUAAAAGAACCAACAACUUUGAACAAGUCUAUAUCUAGUAAAGAUAGAUAUAAAGAGGGAUACUAUAUCACUGCAACAAAAAAGGGAUUUGGCGAGGAGCAAAAGUCCACGCCAAAAUUUUUGACUUCGUCGCCAAUUAAUUUCAGCGAGAAAAAUGCUUCCUCGUCAAGUUUCUUGCUAGAUGCUCAUCGCUAAAAGUUAUUAGAGAGGAUGUUGUUGCUUUUCUCGCUAAUGAAACAGAUCAAUAGCAAGGAUUGACCUCCUCGCCAAUCUGAUUCAAAUACUAUGGCGAGAAAAGCUUUCCUCACCACUAAAGUUAAAAACUCCCCACAAAAACCAGUAGUUCCUAGCAAAUAGUCAAGGUGUUCUGCUAGGAAAAAUAGCGCAUCCUUACCAAUAGUAUAGAAUUAGCAAGGAUUCUUUUGACAAAUCUGCAAUGCCUCGUGUACCAGUAAAACAUUUUUGGCCAGGAAAGUUUCCUCUCUAAUAAGCAAUAAUUGAUUAUUGUCUAACUGUUUGGUGGGAAAAUGUUCCUCUCCAAUGCUGUUAUGAACAUUUCUUAAUCCCAUUUAGCAUGCUAAUCUUAAUUCUCUGAGCAAAUUACUGGGUGGUUUUAUUAGAAAAUUUAGCUGCAAAUAGCUUCAAUUUGGCUUCUCAUGUGUCUGUUGUACAUUUUCCAGGUUCUUAUAAGUAUCAAAUUGUUUGGCAAAAUUUUUUUUUAAUGAAUCAUGACCAACGUAGCUGCUCAUUAAAUUUAAACUCAUAAGCCCUAGUAUUUGAUAGCUUUUUGGAAUAUCACUUGGUGCCAACAACCCCCUUUUGCUACUUUGAUAAACAUUCAAUAGAAAACAUACAAAAGCUUUGGUUAGCUAAAAAUAAUUGUUAGCAAAGUAAUACAUCAACAUCCAGCUCUUUCAACAUCUUGAGCCAUACAAAUAGGAAGUGCUUGAAAUCAAUUGGCAAUCCAAAUUUUUUUUAGCUCAUUAACCAUCCAAGAAAUCGCAACUUCAAUAAGUCAUUACAAAAGAAGAUUUCAUCAAGAGAACACCACAAAAAGGAGAAGCAGAAAAAAAAUAUAAGAGAGAGAGAGAGAGAGUUAAACUAGUCAUAUGGACACAUAUUUGUCACCUCAGUAUUUCCAAUUCCUUAAUUCAGUCCAGUUAUCUUGGAACUCUAUCGGCAAUCCAUGGAACAUUUUUUGAAUGACAAUAUGCUGUUGCAACCUUCUGGUGAAGACUUCAAAGGUUCUAUGAUAGGUUGCAUUUUUGUCAUUAAUUCUAUGAUUAUUUUCCUCAUUUAUAUUACCAAAUAUUGUAUUAAUUGAUUGAUUCUACUUAUAUUUGGUAUUUUGUGUCAAUUGUAGGAAGGUGGAGCAAAAAAUAAUAAAAGAGGUGAUUUUUCAAGAGUUUUCCAUUUCAAGAUGGAGUUUACGUGGAGUAUUGGAUGAAAAUUAGGAAACUACCACUUUUUAUUAGAUGUCUUAUUAGGGAACAAUUAGCAAUAGUUGGAGAAGUUUCCUUUUGCAAUUAGAAUUCUAUUUUUAGUUGGCCAAUGGACUGCCGAAAUAAUGGACUUCAAUUAGGAAACAAAGAGAGAAAAAAGGCCGGAAUCCCGCGUGAUUACUACCUUGGAGGGAACAAGAAAAAGGAGACGUCCGCUGGUCUCUUCUUUAGUGAGUCUUUUGGAAAAAACCAAUGGUUAUCGAUGGUGUCCUGCGGAUCUCUCCUGAUGAUGUGUAGCUAAAUCUCCGUUUUCUAGUCGAAUGUCAAUUUGAGGACUCGAUUCCAAACAUAUUUGAUAAGAGAAUAUUUAAUGUACAUUUUGUACAAGUUUGGCAUGAACUUUUGAUGUGUUUUGAGAAGAUUAAAGCCAUAUUUGAACUCUUUUGGUGAUAAAUGCUUAAAUAUUAUGUAAGUGUUCAAAACUUGAUAAAUGAGUGGAUUAAUGCGUUAAUUUUGUGAAAUUGUGAAGGAUAUUGAUAUAUGAAAUUCAUGCACGAGAUGAAGGAAAUGUAAGGAUCGUCUAGAGGAUAAAGUACAAAAGAAACUAGGAGCAAAAAUGAAGAAAAAGGAAAGAAGUGAAAAACUGGAAAUUGAUCAGCACAGAUUUGAGCUCGGAUCCGUGUGAACAAAGGGCGAUCCGAGCCCUCGUCUGCACUUCUGGAGCAGUGCAUCCGAGGCCAGACAAUCUGAGCUCGGAUUAUUAAGAGAAAGACCUCGGAUCAGCCUUGAUCCGAGCUCAGAUCGUAGUGCACACCUCGGAUCCAGGUCUCGGAUCUGCCUCUCUUCUGCAAGUGGCACGGCCGUUUUUUCUCAUUUUCACACAACUUUCCAGCUAUCUUGGGUGAGAGAAUUCGAUGGCACAUGCUUCUGCAACAAAAGGGAAGACAAAAUGAGUUAUUGAUAAGUCAAAACAACAUUUCUUUUGACUUUCUUUACAAAAUCUGAGUUGUUGGAAUCAUGAAGGAGAAGAAAGUGCCUUUCUACCACCUUUUAUGCAGAGAACUAAGGAGAAGUCAGGCAUCACCAUAUGGAGGAGUUUUUCAUCUUGUAACAUUUUUCUCUCUAGCUAGAAGUUCUAAAAACAAGCACUUGGAGAUUUCACUUGUAAUCAUCUUGUACAAGACAUAGCAAAAAUUUGAGGGUUUCACCAUUAAUUGGCUAAGCUUUUCUUUAUCUUUCUUGUACUUGUACUUUAUGAUGUUUUGCAUUAAUAAACUUGUGAGUUUGAUUGUUAUAUUAUUCAUGAGUAGCUAAAUUUCUUUAUCUAGAGAGUAGAUAAAUGAUAUGAAUUGAAUGUGAUUUACACUUGUUAUAUCUUGUAUUAACUUGUCUAUUUGUGCAGUUGUAAUUACUUGUUGUUGUUUGAUCACCAAUAGCAUGUUUAUAGUUGUUAUUAGUCAAUAAGAAUUGGUAGUAACAAUAGAAAAAAUAUGAGUAGAGCUUGAGUUGUAUGUUCAUGAAAAUAGAUGUACACUUAAGUGGAUUAGCUAGCAUUUCAUGAAGGAAAACAGAGUAGAACUGGUAGUUCACCAUGAAAAUAGGGAAAACUGGAUUACUCUAGGCCAUUUUAUCAUGAGAAUGAGAUUUGGCAAUAUUGAAAAUGAAUCCCUGGUUAAACAACAAUAAUAACAAGAGGUAAAUCUAUUCAUUUGUGUUGUUUAUACCAUAAGUGGAAUCUACAUCCCUAGAUUUAUUCUUGAGUGAAAUUUAUCCAUUUGCAUUUAGCAUUUGUUAAACUAGAUUUAUAGACAACAACAUUAUAAUUUCUCUGCUCAAAUUCAUUUAUAAGUCUAAAUAAUAGAGAAAAUAAGGGCCUAGUACUUAUUUAAAUUGCUCCUCGUGGGAUCGACUUGAUACAUACCUUACAUUACGAUUUCGACCUGUAUAGUUGCAGUCAACGGGUAUAAAAUCGAAUUCAAACUUGCAUUGAUAUAAAAAUCCCGUCACAUAUGUGAGAUCGAAUUAUUUUACUUAUUUCUUUUAUUCAUUGGUAUUUGUACAUUUUCUGAUUUAACUUCAUAUACUUGUUAUGUUAUUUGAAUGUCAAGGGCUCGAUAUUCGAAUUAACCUAAUAAUCUACUGUUAGAUUAAUUGAUUGAAUCCCUAAUUGUUCAAUUGAUUAAUACCAGUGGCAACUAGCGUGAUUAGUUUCAUGUUAAGGAAACAUAUGAUCUAACUUAAACGAACCCUCGUAGCGUGUUUGUUAAUUAAGGUUGGCUUUUCUAAUUCUUAUUGCAAUUGAGAAAUUAAAUCCUAUAGUCGUACCUAGGGUUAUUUCUUGGUUAGAAAAAUAGUUAAUGGUCGUACCUUAACUAUCGAAAAAGUAAGAAAAGAUUGGUUGUUUAUCGCGUGUAUAACAACUAUAACCAAUCUAUUAAUUAGUAAUUGAAUUAUCUUUGCAUCGAUGAUCAGUUGAAAGGACCAUGUCUGAAAAGUUGCACCUUUGGCUAGAGUUGUAUUGGUUAUUGAUUAAUUCCUGUUUAUUUCUAUUAGUUGUUUCAUUAGUUGAUUAAUUAGUUAUUUUAUAUUUUUCAAAAACCCCCCAUACUUCGGACUCUGGAAGAAAUGAAUUAUCCCCAAUCCCUGUAGAUUCGACCCUGCUCACCGCUAUAUACAAAUUUGUAUUUUUCUUGAGUAGGUAAUUAUUAUUGCACAUGUUCAACACCUGUCAUUCUAUAACUGUAUACAGAGUCAUCUUUUUCAAAGAUUUCCCAUGCUGCAAAAUGUACUCUACGAGCUUUAUUUCACCCUGUUCCUGAAGAGUUUGCUUGAUCCGAUAUACCCGAAUGGGAUGGUUAUUUCUUUCACAAAUAAUUAUGAAUUUGUAGACAGGGCAAGUAGGGUCGUAUCCACAGGGACUGGGUAUAUUUGUUUCUUAAGAAAUCCAAAAUAACAUAGGGGGGUGAUUUUGUAGGAACGACGACAAUAAAAUAAAUUCAAUUAAGAAAAUAAAAAUAAAUAACUAAUUAGAGAUUAAACAACAAUUCACUGAACUUAGAGUAAUAAUAAUUAAAGGCCUAAAUCAAUUAAAACAAGGAAGCAUGAAAAUAGAUGUACACUUAAGUGGAUUAGCUAGCAUUUCAUGAAGGAAAACAGAGUAGAACUAGUAGUUCACCAUGAAAAUAGGGAAAACUGGAUUACUCUAGGUCAUUUUAUCAUGAGAAUGAGAUUUGGCAAUAUUGAAAAUGAAUCCCUGGUUAAACAACAAUAAUAACAAGAGGUAAAUCUAUUCAUUUGUGUUGUUUAUACCAUAAGUGGAAUCUACAUCCCUAGAUUUAUUCUUGAGUGAAAUUUAUCCAUUUGCAUUUAGCAUUUGUUAAACUAGAUUUAUAGACAACAACAUUAUAAUUUCUCUGCUCAAAUUCAUUUAUAAGUCUAAAUAAUAGAGAAAAUAAGGGCCUAGUACUUGUUUAAAUUGCUCCUCGUGGGAUCGACUCGAUACAUACCAUACAUUACGAUUUCGACCUGUAUAGUUGCAGUCAACGGGUAUAAAAUCGGAUUCAAACUUGCAUUGAUAUAAAAAUCCCUUCAAGUUUUUGGCGUCGUUGCCAGAGAGUGGCAAUAUUAGGGUCUAAUCAUCUCUAUUAAUUUAGAUAUUUCUAUUGUUUUUAAGUUGUUUAUAGUUGAUUUUGCAUUAAUUUAGUUUUUGACAAUUAAAGCUGCAUAAUUUCUCUUAUUUCUAUUUGUAGUAAAUGCAUCGAACAUAUCGAGAAGUUACACCUUUCGAUCCAAAAAUUGAGAGGACACUUUGUAGACAAAGGAGCGAUAUACCGCAUCAAGAGGAACAAGAGAUUUGACAGCCGAUAGAGGAAAUUUUGAAAGAGCUACCGUUUGAGGAAGAAAUGGCGGAAAACAAACCAAAUAGGCGAGUUUUACGAGAUUUUGCUUUACCGGGGACACAAAGAUCUCAAACUAGCAUUGCAAAACCAACGGUAAAUGCUAAUAAUUUUGAGAUUAAACCAUCACUGAUUCAAAUGGUUCAACAAUCUCAAUAUGGGGGUAAUGCAACCGAAGAUCCAAAUUCUCACUUGUUAACAUUUCUUGAAAUCUGUGAUACAAUUAAGUUUAAUGGUAUUAGUGAUGAUGCAAUUAAACUUCGAUUGUUUUCAUUUUCGCUAAGGGACAAGGCCAAGGUUUGGUUAUAAUCUCAUCCUUCAAAUACUUUUACUACUUGGGCUGAAUUAGCUAAGGCUUUUCUUAAUAAAUUCUUUCCACCUGGAAAAACUGCUAAACUUAGAAUGGAUAUAACUAGUUUCUCUCAACAGAAAGGAGAGACAUUGUAUGAAGGUUGGGAGCGCUAUCAGGAAUUACAACGAAGAUGUCCUCAUCAUGGUUUACCAGAUUGGCUUAUAGUGCAAACAUUUUGCAAUGGUCUCACUUAUCCAACAAAGACGCAUGUAGAUGCAGCAGCGGGAGAAGCAUUGAUGGAAAAAUCAGCCAAGGAAGCUCAACAAUUGAUUGAAGAAAUGGCCGCUAAUAACUACCAAUGGGCCAACGAACGAGGUAAUACAAGGAGAACCGUAGGUAUGCUUGAAGUAGAUACCUUAAAUAUGUUAAGUGCAAAGAUGGAUAAUGUGGUUAAGAUACUUAAUAGGCAUGUUGGUUCUAGCUCUAAUCAAGGAGUAGUUGUUACAUGUUCUACUACUUGCAGCGGAGAUCAUGAUGAUUCUAUGUGUUCUAGCAGCGAACAAGUUCAAUAUCUCAACAAUUACAACCGUCCACCCCAAAAUAAUCUAUACUCCAAUACCUACAAUCCAGGAUGACUUAAUCAUCCGAAUUUUGGAUGGAAGGAUCAAGGGAACCAACAAAAACCAGUUAAUCCACUGGAUUUUCAACCGAAGCAACCACUUCCAGAGUCCAAACCAGCUUGGGAAUUGACAAUUAAGAAGCUGGCAAAUGUAUCAAAUGAUAAAAUUGAAAAGUUAGCUAGUGUCACUACUCAACGAUUUGAAAGAAUUGAGGGAAUGAUGGACCAACUCACCAAUAUGUAUAGGAAUGUUGAGAUCCAAUUAGGGCAAAUAGCAAAUGCAGUUAACAAUCGCAACCAAGGGGAUUUACCUAGCAAGACUGAGGUGAACCCAAGGGAGCAUGUGAAGGCCAUAACCUCCGUAGUGGUAAGGAAGUAGGUGAGCCACCUGUAGUUGAAAGUGAGAGAAAAUAUGAAAGAAGAGAAAACAAGCAGUUGAGUGAGUUAGGAGAUGAUAACAAAACAAUUGAUGGGAAAGAAAAUGUGGAAGAGUGUGAGCCACAAAUUGAAGAGGCAACACUAAUUCCUCUACCGGUGCCAUUUCCUCAAAGAUUGAAACCUUCAAGAAAUGACAAAGAAUUUGAGAAGUUUGUUAACAUUUUCAAACAAUUACAUAUUAACAUUCCUUUUGUUGAUGUUAUUUUACAGAUUCCUUCAUAUGCAAAGUUUCUCAAAGAAAUAAUGACUAAGAAAAGGAGGUUAGUAGAUAGUGAAACAAUUUCAUUAACGGAAGAAUGUAGUGCCAUCAUACAAAAUAAAUUGCCACCAAAGUUGAAAGAUCCGGGGAGUUUCACAGUUCCUUGCACUAUCGAUAAUGUAGAAUUUUCUAAAGCACUACGUGACCUUGGUGUGAGUGUUUCAUUGAUCCCUUUAACUGUGACUAGGCAAUUGGGGUUGAAAGAGUUAAAACGUACUAACAUUUCCUUGCAAUUGGCUGACAAGUCUAUUAGACAUCCAAUGGGCAUUUUGGAGAAUAUGCUUAUUAAAGUGCAGAAAUUCAUUAUUCCUGUUGAUUUUAUUGUUUUAGAUAUGGAGGAAGAUGUCAAUGUACCUAUUAUACUUGGUAGACCAUUUCUGGCCACUGCAGAUACAAUAAUAGAUGUUAAAUGUGGUAAAUUUAAGUUCCAAAUUGGUGAAGAGGAAGUGGAGUUUGAUUUGAGUAAAGUGGAGAAGUAUCCCUCUUUUACUGACCAUAUUUAUUCUAUUGACAUAUGUGAUGAAUUAGCGUUAGAGAUAAGUCAAGUUAAUCUUGAUAAUGAUUCUCUUGAACUUUGUCUUAAUGAUGUAGGCUUACAAGAGGAACAAGUUGAAGAAAUGACUGAAUUUUUGCAGGUACAAAUUCCUUACAAAAGGAGAAAUGCGUAUGAGGAGUUAGGGCUGAGCAAAGGGCUACCUCCACCAUCGUGUGAGCAAGCUUCACGGCUUGAGCUUAAGCCACUCUCUAAACACUUCAAAUAUGCAUUUCUUGGAGAAAAUGAGACAUUGCCGGUGAUUGUCAAUACUGCACUAGAUGAGGAACAACUAGGAAAGCUUUUACGUGUUUUGAGGAAACAUUUAAAAGCUAUAGGAUGGACAACUUUUGAUAUCAAAGGAAUUAGUCCAACUAUUUGUAUACACAGGAUUUUGUUAGAAGAAAAUUCUAAGCCGGUGGUUGAAAUUCAAAGAAGGUUAAAUUCAAACAUGAAAGAAGUGAUAAGAGUACAAAUCCUUAAAUGGCUAGAUGCAGGUAUAAUUUUUCCAAUCUCUGAUAGUGUUUGAAUUUCUCCUAUUUAUGUAGUGCCAAAGAAAGGGGGGAUAAACAUAGUACGUGGUAAAAAUAAUGAAAUGAUUUCCUCUAGAGUUGUGGUUGGGUGACGAGUCUGUACUGAUUAUAGAAAACUGAAUGCAGCUACUAGAAAGGAUCAUUUCCCUCUUCCUUUUCUUGAUCAAAUGGUAGAAAGAUUGGCUGGAUAUGAAUUUUAUUGUUUCUUGGAUGGUUUUUCAGGAUACAAUCAAAUAGUCAUUGUACUGAAAGAUCAAGAUAAAACCACAUUCACUUGUCCUUACGGCACUUUUGCAUUUCGAAAAAUGCCUUUUUGAUUGUAUAAUGCACCGGCCACUUUCCAACAUUGCAUGAUGGCAAUUUUCUCUGAUUUUAAUGAGAAAAUCAUGGAAAUCUUCAUGGAUGAUUUUUCUGUAUUUGGAUCUACUUAUGAUCAUUGCCUUAACAAUUUAGAUCUAAUUUUGCAGAGAUAUGAAGAAACAAACCUUGUACUCAAUUGAAAAAAAUGUCACUUCAUGGUUUGUGAGGGUAUUGUUCUAGGGCACAAAAUUUCUUCACAAGGUAUUGAGAUAGAUCAAACCAAGAUAGAGGUUAUUGAGAGAAUGCCUCCACCUACCAAUGUGAAAGGCAUUCAAAACUUUCUUGGACACAUGGAAUUUUAUCGGCAGUUUAUUAAGGAUUUCUCCAAGAUUGCUAAACCUUUAUGUGAAUUACUUGCAAAAAAUAUUACUUUUCACUUUAAUGAUGAGUGUUUAUUUGCUUUUAAUAGGUUGAAAAAGGAACUUGUCUCCACAUCCAUAAUAGCAUCACCACCAGAUUGGAGCUUGCCAUUCGAAUUGAUGUGCGAUGCGAGUGAUUUUGCAGUUGGAGCUGUUCUUGGGUAAAAACAUGAUAAGCGACUUUAUGUCAUUUAUUAUGCAAGUAAAAUGCUAAAUGAAACCCAAGUCAACUAUGCAACAACAGAGAAGGAGUUGCUAGUAGUGAUAUUUGCAUUGGAUAAGUUUAGAUCGUAUUUAGUAGGAUCUAAAGUCAUCAUUUAUACCGACCAUGCAGCACUCAAGUAUCUCUUAAAUAAGAAAGAUGCAAAACCUGGACUAAUUCGAUGGAUUUUAUUAUUGCAGAAAUUUGAUUUGGAGAUCAAAGAUAAAAAAGGAUCCGAGAACUUAGUCGCUGAUCAUCUUUCUAGACUGAAAAACAUGCUUCAAGAAGACCAUUCAUCCAUUAAAGAAGAAUUUUCAGAUGAGUUUUUAAUGGCAAUUUAAAAGUCACCAUGGUAUGCUAAUUUAGUUAAUUUUGUAGUUAGUGGAGUGAUAUCAAGUGAUUUGAAUUCCCACCAAAGGAAAAAAUUCUUAAAUGAUGCUAAACAUUAUUUUUGGGAGGAACCAUUCUUUUAUAAACAUUGUGCAGAUGGAAUAAUUAGAAGAUGUGUUCCGGAAGAAGAGGUACACAGUAUUUUAAUACAUUGUCAUACCCUUGAAACGGGAGGUCAUUUUAGUACAACUAAAACCGUAGCAAAGGUAUGACAAUUUGAAUUUUACUGGCCUACUAUAUACCGAGAUGCUAGAAAUUGGGUUAAAAGUUGUAAUUAAUGCCAAAGAACUGGUAACAUCUCUAGAAAGGAUGAAAUGUCUCUAACUAAAUAUUUGGAAGUUGAACUAUUUGAUGUUUGGGGUAUUGAUUUUAUGGAACCAUUUCCUAGUUCUUUUAAUAAUAACUACAUCUUAGUAGCAGUGGAUUAUGUUUCUAAAUGGGUAGAGGCAAUUGUUUUCACCUACUAAUGACUCUAAGGUUGUACUCCGGUUUCUUAAAAAGAAUAUUAUUUGCAGAUUUGGUAUCCAAAAGACCAUAGUUAGUGAUGAAGAAAAAUAUUUUUGUAAUAAACACCUUCACUCAUUGUUUAAAUAUGGCUGCAGGUACAAGACAUCACUUCUGUACCAUCCUCAAGCCAACGGACAAGCGAAACUAGCUAAUAGAGAGAUAAAACUCAUUUUGGAGAAAACUGUAAUUGAAUCACGCAAAGAUUGGGCUACAAAGCUAGAUGAUGCACUAUGGACUUACCGACCGGCAUUUAAGACACCUUUAAGGAUGUCGCCGUAUCGUUUAGUCUAUGAAAAAACUUGUCACUUACCUGUAGAGAUUGAACAUAAAGCUUAUUGGGCUAUUAAAGCAAUUAACGUGAACUUUAAUCUUUCAGGUGGAAGGAGGCUACUUGAGUUAAGUGAAUUGGAGGAACACCGAUUACAUGCGUAUGAAAAUGCCAAAAUUUAUAAAGAGAAGAUCAAAUAUUGGCAUGAUAAAUAUAUUCUUCCUAAGCAUUUUGAAGAAGGGCAAAAGGUGUUAUUGUUUAACUUAAGACUUAAAUUGUUCCCUGGAAAGCUUAAGUCUCGAUGGUCCGGACCAUUUGAAAUAGCUCACACAUUUCCUUAUGGAGCGGUGGAAAUAAAAGGAGAAAAUGGUGCCCCAUUCAAAGUGAAUGAUCAAAGAUUGAAGCUCUAUUUGGCCGGAGAAAGGGUUCCUAAAGGAGUAAUUUACUCCUUAGGAAACACAAUGGAGAGUUAAGAAAACUGUAGGAGAGUCGAGUUUAACGAUUUUAAAUAAAGCGCUUGUUGGGAGGCAACCCAAUAAUAAUAUUGUAGUUGUGUGUUUUUAUGUGUUUCUUAAAUUUUGGUGUUAUUUGAUUGACUAAUUAUAUGUAUUUCACUUGUUGUAGGGGGUGCCGGCAUUUCAACUUCCAUAGGUGCACUUGAAGAACAAUAGUUAAAAGGGAAGUUUUCUUACCAAAUUCUGUUUUAAGUGUUUAAAAUUCCCUUUCAUGUAUAAUAUGUUGCAUUUCCAUUGUAUUCAAGUAAGUUUUAGUGAUAACAUGUUUAUACAUGUUCAUUGAUUCAUUUGAUGUGUAUCUCAUACCUAAGGGAGCCCUCUUAGUGUAAAAGUGCCAAAAUGAUCAAAGAAACUCACCCCUCGAUUUGCAAUGUAUAUGUGUUUGAUGUAUUUUGAGAGGUUGGAUAUUGUGUUUAUGGUAUAUUACACUUGCGUGAAAGGGUAGAAUUGAUAGAAAUUUCGUCCAAGGUGUAAUUUGGAAAUUGCCGAAAAAGGAGGAAAAAGUUUGAAAAAUUGCAAUUUCUGAAAUUGUUGCAGAAAAAGCCAGAUCCGAGCUCGAAUCCGUUAAAGAUUCAAAGACGAAAUUGGAGAUCCAACCUCGGAUCCGAAGUUGUUCACUAUGAUCCGAGGGCUCAUCUGUGUUUCUGGAAGGCCGGAUCCGAGCCUAUAGGAUCCGAGCCUUGGUAUACACGAUCCGACCUCGGAUUGUGUAUUCUUGAAAAAUUCAGCAUAGGGGAUCCGAACUAGGAUCCAACAAAAUCUAGUAGGAUCCGAGGGCUCGACUGAACUUCUGAAGUAGCGGAUCCGAGCCCUAUCGGAUCCGAGGGAUGCCAGAACCGAUCCGACCUCGGAUCUGUGCGCGAUAAAAACAAAUCCGAGGCUUCGGUUCUGCAUUUGUCCAAUUCUCCUUUUCCUAUUUCACCGAAAACCCUAGCCCUUUUUCACCAAUCUUCCAUUUCAUCCAAUAAUUAUUCAAUCUUUCACCACAAAAACAUCUCCCAACCUCUUGUGAUCAUAAACCCUCAACAAAUUCAUUUUAAAAACAUCAAUUUGGGGGGUUUUGAUCUUCAAAACGGGAAUUCAGGCCGCACUGAAAUCUCGCAAUUUGUGGUCGAAUUUGGGCUUGUUUCUUCAUCACUUUGCAUCAUUAUCAUCCUCCACCAUCAAUCUACACAUUUGAGGUAACAAUUUGCAAUUUUCUUUGAGAUUUUAUAAUUCCCAAUUUUACAUUUUUCUAGUUUUGGACAUAUUUUGGUAAUUGCUCAUAAGUUGAAAUUUUUUGAUACAAUUGUGCUACAUUGUGCUUAAAUAGAUUGUCACAACUAUUUUCAUGCUUAGUUUUGAGAGAAUUGUGAAUUUGGUAUUAUUUUGUAGAUUUUUCUUCUAAAAUUUUAGGUUAAUGCACAUGAACUCUUUAAUGAAUGAAAUUACUCCUCUAUGUGAACUACUUGCAUGCUUAAAAUUGAGAAAAUUGUUAUUAUAGUGAUAUUUUUGUAUAUUUUUCUCAAUUUUUAAGUUUAAGCAUGUUAAAUCUUUUGCUUGAAUAUUCCUUGUUCUUAGAGAUAAUUGGCAUUCAUUAAGAAGAAUUGGAGCUCAUUAGUUGGUACUUUGGUGAUAAUGUGUAUAGCCAAUUGGUGUGUAAUUGUUGGAUAAAAUCAUGAGAUAAUUGGCCCGUACAUUCUUGAAGUAAUGAAAUUGAUCUUUUAAGAGUCCUUUUUACUUUGAGAUUAUAUUCUAUUGAAAUAUGCAUCAAUUCUUAAGAGAUUGGACUUUUUAAUGAGAUUCUAAUUAAAAUAUGCUGUUCAAUUGUUGAAAGUGGAAUAUUCAAACAAUGUGUUGAGAUUGUAGAUUGAAAUUGAUAUCAUGCAUGUGCAAUGAGCUUGUGAAUUGGUUAAAUACGAUAUGGCCGUGAAUUUGUUGAUUGUUGGCAGGGAGUUUUUUCCUUUUAUUAGGGGAAACUCUGCCGAAAUUUUCCCAAAUCAUUUUUAAACAUUGUUGGUCGUGUAUUUUCAAGGGAUUUAGAAUUCUUCUAAUGUGUGUUUGAUCUUGUUUUUGAUAUAGGUACCAUGACUCGCACAAGACGAUCUCGUGUUCGCACUCCUUCACCUUCUUCAAGUGAAGAGCAUACUCCUUCAAUGCCUAAGGAGUCACCAGGGGAAGAAUCUCCUUCACCACAGUCGCCGCCACGCUUACGGCGUAAGAGAGCAUCUACGAGCCAUGAGAAGCUAGCUCUAGAUUAUGACACCACUCGUUUUAGACAAAGAGAUCAUAAUUGAAAAACACUUGGCCCCGGAGAUGGAUGACCACUCACUACAAGAAAAUUGUUCAUCAGUGACAACACAAAGUCAUCACAGAACAUACAAAUAUCGUCACAAAUACCUUUUAUUGACGACUUUUCGAUCGUCACAAAGUCGUCACUAAAUCCCCGUCGGUAAAAGUAAACAGUGACGACAUUUUAGGUAGAGCAUUUUUGACAAAAGAUCAAUUCGUCAAUAAAACACUUCCAGAUUGUCGUCACUAAUGACAACUAUUUAGUGACAACUAUUUGGUCGUCACUAAAUAGUUGUCAUUAGUGACGACAAUCUGGAAGUGUUUUAUUGACGAAUUGACCUUUUGUCAAAAAUGCUCUACUUAAAGUCGUCACUAAAAAGCACCGAAAGCCAUUGUAUAUAACUAUUUUACUGACAACAAUUGUCGUCACAAAUGUAACUUAGAUUUAGUGACAGUCUCUGUUGUGACAAGGAGUUUUUAUUUUCUAUUUUGUGACAACUUUUUUUUGUCAUUAGAUAAUUUCAUAAUAGCUUAAUAGUCAUAAUUUGGCCUGUAAUCAUUGCUAAAUCAUUGAUUUUGAACAAACCAUACAAAUAAACAUAAACGAUUGAUAACCAAAAGUAUUUGCAUUAGAUUACAUGGUAAUAAUAUAGCAUUCUCAAAUGCCAAAUUCAAGUGUACAUUGCCCAACUAAUGCCUACAAAAAUAACAUUUGUCCAAAAUAUCACUUGUACAUAAGGUACAUUUACAAAAGCAAUCACAGUUUAAGAAAUUGAAGAACAUCUAAAUGAACCACUCCAUGAGCAAAAGGCAAUUUUGUCUUCAACAUUCUUCAACCAUAACCAUAGAUAUCUUCCAAAAGCUAGUAUGAAUAGCAUUUAUCUGUCAUAAAAGAGUAAAAGAAGUAGGUAAGGGGAGGAGUACAAUAAUAAAGAACAAGUAAUGAGACUUAGAUUAUUAAGACAAAAAUUACAAUUCAUUAAGAAUCUCAUAUAAUUUGGGCCCACAUAUUACAACACCAGCAAGAAGUUAGAAAUCACAGUCCAAUCUAUACAAAUACAACACUGCAUAAGCUCAACUAAAGAGCUCUCUAAAACAGUUUUUUUUUAAUUUUCUUUCUUCUUCUUUAAAUAGCUCAACUUAUUGAACAAUUAAAUUGGACUCCCACAGUAAUUAUUGUUUAAUGUUUAUGCUUUUGGUUGUUUAUAUAUUAAAACUAGGUGAUUGCUUCCCACGCAAGGCAUGGGAACUUUAGACCUGUUAGUAAGGUUGUAUUUGUUAUUGUAAUAUUUUUAAUAUUUUAGAUGAUGAAAAGAGUGAUGUGAUGUGUAUCGUGAACUUGGGCUAGGAGUGAAAAGGAGUAUUAGUCAAAAAUAUAUUAGUUCCAAGAGUAGUCAUGUACUAAUACAAAGGAUACAGCCAAUGCAGUAAUGAUGAUUCACAAGAAAAAGGAAAGCAUGAUAUUUACAUAUACAACAGUAAUUUAGUAUAGAUGAUUCAAAAGAAAGAGGCUCCUUUGACGUUCAAAUACAUUCCAUUAUCAUGUAACAACAACUCAGAUGACAAUGAAAUAAAUUCACAAGUACCAAUCACUUGGUCAUUACUGCAGUAACAGUUAAUGGAAGUAGCAAGAUAUUGCUACAACUUGGUCACAUGCAAAUUUUUUUUUUGUUCUGGGUUCACAAGGAAUGAAUUCAUAAAUUAUGAAGCAGCAAAAUAAAUUCACAAGUACCAAUCACUUGGUCAUUACCACAGCAACAGUUUCAAUACCAACAGUUUCAACUUUCUUGAGACAAUCAAGUUGCAUCUUAAGUUUGCAAAAUAUCAAGUUUUACAUGUCCAUUAAAAAUUUUAAAAAGUACCUUUGCUUUCAUCACCACCUUUCCGGCUUAGGAUACCUCCUUGAACACCACCCCCAUAAAGCCACUGCUUCAUCUGGUUUUACACUCUUGUUGGGUUCCUUUCCAUCAAAGUAGUCCUUGAGAAGUUAUUGGACUUUUGGGAUCCUGGUAGCCCCACUAACAGGAACAAUUUCAUGCAUCUGGUGGUUCUCCAAACCAGCAUCCCCCAUAGCCUUCUUGACAAGUCCCAUGUUUUUGCUAAAGAGGUCAUUGUUCAACUCGUCAAAUCAAGCAUGAGUCUUAACUUGCUGCUGGCUGCUUAAAGCUCUUUUGGCACGGUCAGCUUCCCUCAGUUUUCCAAGUGGUCUGUUGUGGUUGCUGAUGUUCUUUCCAUGUUUCUUGUUAAUCAACUUGAUGAAAUAUUCUAUAAUCCUUUGAUGAAAGCCUUUGCCUACAAUAAAACAGAGCAAUUAGAACCAUAUGAAAGCUUUUUAUAAGAAAUGUAACUAAUAAAACUUAUACAAGAAAUUGGUUGCUUUAAUUAGUGUAGUUAGAUAAACUUUUUUAAUUCGUAGUUAGACAGGCAACUGCUGCUGCUCUGGGUUCAUUGAUAGUCCUAGCAACAUUCAGCCCAGCAAUAAUACCUGCAUUCUUUGUUGCCUGCCUCUGGGCAUCACUGAAGUAAAAUAUGAUUCAACGAGUAACUCUAGAAAUUGAACUAUACCGGGAACAGUUACCACAGCAUCCUUAAUUUUCUUUGCAAGGAAAGCUUCAGCUGCUUCUUUCAUCUUAGUUAAAACCAUUACACUAAUUUCCUCAAGACUGAAGACUUUAACCUUACUAUCCUUAAUUUUCACCUAGAUAUAAGGUUUUCCAUCCUUGUUCACAAUCUUACAAGGAACGAGCUUCAUAUCCCUCUAAACUUCAUUAGUCUCAAUCCUGUUAUAUAACAGUUAAGACUUCAGUGAGCAUAUGUAUACACACCAAAAUGUUCCAGCAAAAAUGAUAAAUACACGAGUGUGCCUUACUUUCAUCCAAUAAAUCUCUUGACAUCAAAGAUAGUUCUUUCAACAUUAACAUCGAAUCAGUCUUUCGCUACCAGCAAAUGCAAUCCAUGAUGGCUUAAUACGAUUCCUUGGUCAUUUGCUGUGAUUUCAACAUGACCAUUUUUGUAAAUAUGAGCACAUGAAUAGGUAGUUCCAAGAUCUAUUCCAAUGACUAUUCCCAAUUUUGCAGCUUAUUCUUUGGUGAUGGAAAUUGUAGAUAGACAGCCUUUUGCACCGAAAAAUAUUAUUGGAAAAAGUAAAACUCUUAUGUAUAGUUUUUGAGAGAAAAAAACUAAAACACUGCAGGAUGAAGCAAUUCCACACUCAUGAUGAAAUCCACAAUUACUCGAGCAACCGUGGGAUUGAAGAGUUCGAAGAGCUUGCUCAAACAUUGUGGUGACCAUCCCAAGAACAAGUGGAAAAAAUAAGAACUCAUUUAAUUUCAAGAAAAUGAAAUGAACAUCAAGUAUCAAACUAACAAACAGUGCAGGAACAGAAGAAGGAUAUGAACUGCGAAGAACAAUCUGAUAGAUAGCCUAGUGGUUAAUGGUUUUUUUUCCCAUCUCCCUUUUUUCUUCCUUCCCAAUCCUUCCUUGCUAAAAAAUGGCUUUGAAAGUAUCAAAUAGUACCUAUCAAAUUAGCGAACUGAGUUAGUUUAAAGAAGAUCCUAUAAUAGUUAUUCUAAAAAUCUUUAGUCACUUGCUACGUGAGGAGGGCGUGGCAGAUAAUAACUCUUUGUUUUUUGGCUCAUUUCGAAUUGAUAUACUUUUUGGCUUAAUUGGAGAGAACUAAUUUGAAUCAUUUCCAACCAGUUUACAGAUAAAAAAAAUUUCAUUUAUGAAAAUGAAAUAGAAAAAAUAAUAGCACAAAAACAAUGAAAAUAGACAUCAAUGGCUAGUAAAAAAAAGGUGUUCUUUUAUCAUUGAAAAUUAGGCCAAUGCUGAUCAAUGAGCUAUAGUUGUUUGACUAUCAACAGACAUAAUAUCAAGAAAUUACGAGAGCUUUUUUUGCUGUAACAUCAACAGGCAUAAUAUCAGAUGUGUAAUCUUGUUUUACCAGAGUUUCUGCCUAUACAGUGAUAAUCUAGCACAUUAACAGGCAAAAACAAUAAUCAGGCAGACAGUCACUGAAUCGAAUAAUCAGGUAGCUUAUUUUCAUUGAGCACCACCUUGCCAUCAGAUGAUUUUCAUGAAUCACUUAUCAGCAUCUUUGACUACAAGAAUUAGUACCUUUUAAUAGAUCAGCAGAAAGCCGCAAGAUUUUUCCAAACUUUAUCAACCACGCUGCAUAUCACAUGAUAUUAUUCCCAUUCAAUUGUUGAUGGAGGCUUGGAAGUAAUAUCUUGAACAACUCGAUUUACACCACAUACACUAUUGCAUAUCUUUCUUGCAACAACAUCAAGGAAAUUGUGUUCAAAAUUGUACCAGUCAGCAGUCAUCCCAUCUUGAUUUGUGACAGCUCUCAAUGCAACAACAUGAGAAUGUGUUCUUUGAUCACCUUGAACUCCAACAGACCUUAUGGGCAAGAAAACAGCAAAAGCUUGCUAUAUUUUAAAAAAAACAACCAAACCAAAUCAAACCAACCUUUACUAAUGAUUCUAAGAAAAACCCACUUCAAUUUUGCCAAGAAACAAAUUGCAAAACAAAUGAUACAGGAAAAGAAACAUCCAACUUCAUAAAACUAAACAAAAAAGCCAUAGAAAACAACAGAAAACGUAAAUGGAGUUUGAAAGUGAUAUUCUUAGAGGGGUUCAAAUGCAACUAAAUAGGGACUUAACUGAAUGAAUUAUGGAUGUUUUAGGGUCGAAUUAAGUUCAGGAACUCUGGGGCUAAAUUACAAAAAAGAAAAUGGAAUGACCGGAAUUGCAAAUUUAAGCAAACGAUCGUCUUCCCCAAGCAGAUUAGGCAUCAAUCUUCUAUUUAGACCUUCACUCGGGCAUUUUAACAAACAGUACAUGGGCAUAGAAGGAUCCAGCAAUUUUUGCUCAAUUGGGACUGUAAUUAGCCCCCCAAAAUUUGUCAAAACACAAGAGAUUUCAGUCCAAACAACAUACAAUAGCAUACAAUCUAAAAUCGUUAGCAAUCAACAUGAAGUUGGCACUGAACAAACGCACGGCAAACAUGCUUUGAGACUUUUCAAUGUUCAUACUAAAAAUGGAAAACUAAAAUUCAAAGAAGGCAGACCGCUUAUAGCGUUUGCUUGGCGAAGUCUGCAGGCGAUGGUGAUGGUCGAAGGAAGGUGCGAAUGAUCAGGCGGCUAUAGCUGCCAUGGUAGCCACGCUGGAGCUGGGCGCCAGUGGUGGGUGGCAACAUGAAAUCGAGGAGCGACAGUGAGAGAGAAAGGUCGUGCGGGAAGGGGAGAUGCGUCAGGCAGCUAGGCGGCGCACGAAAUGGAGGUGCCGUGGCGGAACUUGGAGGCGUCGGAAAUUGGAUGAGAGCAGAGUGACGGCAGCUAUGGAGAUUGCGCUCUGUGAUGGCCGAUGAGCGGCUGUUGCUCUGUAUUUUCUUUGUGUCCCCUCUAGGCCAAGACCUUUCUCUGUUUCUGGUUUCACUUCCUCAAUCACCAGCCCCCAAAUGAAACUUUAGUCUUUUCCUUCGUUCCCCUGCCGACGACCCCUUUUCUUCCUUGACAGCUAAAAGAUUUUGGGCAGAAAUUUGCAAAAAAUAUUGUAGAAUAUUAGGGAUUUGGAAAAAUUGGGGAAAAUGUAUAGGAGAGAGAAAAAUGAACCUUUCCAAUGAAAACCUUGCCCUUUAAUGCUGGACAGCCAUGGUGAUGCUAGUGAGAAGCCAGAGAACGGAUUUGUUGUGUGGGUGAAGGUAUCAGGUGCCGUGUGGAAGCUCUGUUUUGUGCUCAGUGCAGAAGCUUGUUUGUUUCAGCUCGGUGAAAGUUUGUGUUGCUCAAGUGUUCCGUUGCUUUAACUCAGACCAAGUGUUCCGUUGCUUUUCUUUUCAGAAUGUGUUCCGCUGCUUUGGUCUUUGCUUUGCUUUGGAUAUUGUUUUUGUUGCGCGGCACUUUCACUAUGAUUUGAUCAAAAUUUUGACUUCACUCAUUUUCCCUCCAUUUGAUACCAAAAUUCAUGUUUUUUUCUGGAUUUGUAAUAUGGUUUGAACCAUAGAUUUUAAUGCUAUAGUAUUAUUCUUUAUUUUUUAGCAAAAAAUAAAAAUUUUCAUCAACAUAGGUGGCAAAAUUUGUUAAUUUCAUAUAAUUGAAAAUGUACUUUUAUAAUUUGCUAAUAUUUUAUACUAAUUUCUUAUAAUUGCAGCACUAAAGAACAUCAUGUAAUUCAAAAUAAUUAAACUCAAAUUAUAUCGUUAUAACAUAGUUUCAAUAAAAAUAAUCAUUUUCCCAACAUUUGAGACCAAUCAUCAUGCUUUUUUUAUUUUUAAUUUGGUUUGAAGCAUAGAUUUUAUUGCUAUAGUAUUAUUCUUUAUUUUUUAGUACAAAAACACAAAUUUUCAUCAAUAUAGGUGGCAAAAUUUGUUAAUUACAUAUAAGUGAAAAUAUACUUUUAUAAUUUGCAAAUAUUUUAGCCCUGCAAUUUUUUAUAAUUGCAGCACUAAAGUACAUCAUUAAUUGAAAAUAACGAAAGUCAAAUUCUAUGGUUAUAACAGACUUUCAUUAAAAAUAAUCAAAUGCUAUUAAUAAGACAUUAUUGUUAAGUCAAAAUCAAAGAAAAUUUAGUGAUGACAUAAUGUUAUCACUAAUUUAUUCAAGAUUAUAAUGACAAGAAAAGUCGUCACUAAUUAAAUUGCUAGUUUUUAAUAUUGUCAAUUGCUAGUUUUUAAUACUUUUGUGAAAAUACUGAUAAUGGUUGAGAAAAUUUUGUUACAUUACUGCAAGUGAUAAAUGUACUUUUGUUCUUUUUCAAACAUUUAUUUUAAUGUUUAAUUUUGUUUAAAACUAUUGUACUAGUAUAGAUUUGCAAAACAAAACUUAAGUUCUCAAUAGUUAAAAAAUUCAUUACAGAGAAAACACAAAGUAGUAGUUGCAAAAUGUGUAUAAAUUACAGAUAUUUUAAUGUGUAUAAAUUACAGUUUAUUUUAAUAUUUAAUUUUGUUUGAAACUAUUUUACUAGUAUAGAUUUGCAAGACAUAGAUUUAUGGGUAAUUUUUUUUUUUUGCUUUCACAUAUUUAAUUUAUGUUAAAUACAAAACCUACCAGUUUCCCUUUCAUAAAAAUAUUAGUGCAACACUUUUUGAAUUUUACUUACAAACAUUUAUGUAUUUAACGUAAAUUAAAUGAUUCAGAGUGAAAUGCCCAUAAAGAGCAGAAUAUUUAUUCAUGUAAUGGAGGAAACCCACAAGGAGUUGGUACUUUAUGGGCCAUUUCUUUUUUUAAAAAAAUUUAAUUUAUGUUGAAAAGAUAACCUGCCAGUUUUCGUUUUGUAAGAAAUCAGUGUAAUACUUUUUGAAUUUUACUUACAAACAUUUAUAAAUUUAUCAUAAAUUAUAUGUUUGAGAGUAAAAUGCCCGUAAAAAGUUGGUACUUUAAAUAGAUAAUGCUCAUUUGCCCAUAAACUACACUCCCUAAAGGCUAUUUUGUUAAUUAUUUUGUAGUACUUUGUUAUUCCUUUGCUAAUACUACUUGGCAUGUAGUACAAAGGAUAAAUCUGGCAUAAAUUUCUUAUUCCAUUGAUAAAAAGACCUGCCUGCCUUAUAACUAUUGUAAUGAAAGAUAUAUCUUUAGAGUUUAUAACAAAUUAUUACUUAAGUUUGAGAAAAUUAUAAAAUAUUUAUGCAUAGUUUAUCAAGAUACCAUUCGCAAUUUCCUAAUAAAAAAAUAGGGGCUAAAUUGUAAAAGCUAGGGUGCCAUAAUAGAAAUAAUAAAAUUGGUGUAUUACAUAUGGGGGUUAAAUUGCAAAAGUUAGAGUGCCAUAGUAGAAUUAAUAAAAUUGAAUUAAUAAAAUUGGUGAAUUACAUAUGGGGCUAAAUUACAAAAAUUAGGGAGUAAUAAUAGAAUUAAAGAAAUCGGUGCACUACAUAUGGGGCUAAAUUGUAAAAGUUAAGGUAUCAUAAUCGAAUUAAUGGAAUUUUUUACAACAUUUGGGGCUAAAUCGCAAAAGUUAGGGUGGCACAGUAGAAUUACAGAAAGUGACUUAGAAAUAAGUACUUUAAACAGUGACGAUUAAUUCUUGUCACUAAAUCCAAAUCGGUAGAGUGACAGUGACGAUAUUAGAAGUUGUCACUAUAUAGAUCAUUUUAGUGACAACUUUUUCAAGGUCGUCACUGAACACUUAGUUGCUUUGAGCAAUUAUGACAACUUUCCUUGUCGUCACUAAACAAUCACGUUUUGUGACGAAUUUUGUCGUCACUAAAAAAUGUUGUCACUAAUGACCAUAUUUCUUGCAGUGUAGUUUGUGACGAAAAUAACGGGUCGUCACUAAACAUUUAGUUGCUUUGAUGCAAUUAUGACAACUUUAGGUGUCGCGACUAAAGAAGCUCCUUUUGUGACGACUUAUUGUCAUCACUAAAAAAUGUUGUCACUAAUAAAUUUUUUUUUUAGUGAUCAGUGACGACAACAAAAAGUCGUCCGUAAAUAGGCCAAGCAAUAGUGAUGAUGUUCUUAAUGUCGUCACUAUUGUGUGUUCUAAACACUCCCGCGCUCUUGCUAAAACUUGGCGGGAAUUUACUAAGUCGUCACAAAUGGGUUGGCUCCCAUUAGAGGUUUGUGACGAGUUAGAAAUUCGUUAAUAAAUGAUCCACUUUUGUGACAACUUUUUUUCGUCACAGAGAAAAGUUGUCACUGAUGACCAAUUUUCUUGUAGUGACUACAAGAUCUCCACGGCAUUCAAGUGACUUAGAUGGGAGACUAUACUAAAUUUGCCGAAGCAUUACUAUCCCAAUCUGGUCCGGGAGUUCUACGCCAAUGUGGAAGACAAAUAGAGCCACAGUGGCAACCUUAUCAUCUCCUGGGUUCGAGGCAAGAGAGUGGCUCUCACUCGACAUACAAUCACCCAAAUCGUCAAACUAAAGGACAAUGGAGAAGAUGUUAAAUUGACUAAGGAAUUUAAGGCACGUGAUCCAUGGCAAGUCGGAGAAACUGUGGCACGUCUUAAGGGUCAAUAUCGGGAGUGAGGAAGUUCGAAGAAGCUCAUUGUAUACGCCGAUUCCUUUGAGCAUAGGUACCACCUGAUCUUCUAUCUCUUCGCCUUCAAUGUGGUACCAAAAAGGAGUGGAAAAAGGGAGCUCCGAAACGGUGACUUGUAUUUCCUCGAUAAUAUGAUGCAUGGUGUAGGUAGGCUGCUGACUGGUAUUCCUCUGGCCAGCAUCAUCAUCAGUUACAUGCGUACUACAGCUUGCAUGAGAGCCGACGAAACUUGCUUUGGGUUCCCUCGUUUGCUCUCCCUUAUUUUUAAGCAACUCAAGGUUCCUCUGGGAACCGAGUGAGCCAUUGUUACUAGGGCAGCCGAGGAAGUCAACGGCUCAGUACUUAGGUCCUUAGGUAUUCCUACGGAUUUUGGAGCUUCUCUGGUACAGGAUGUUGGAGAAGCAUCGACUUCAGCUUAGCCUCCAGCUCACACUGAACCACACCAGGAAGCUCAAGAGAUGGAGGCAUAGCAGACUCUCCCUCCUCCCAUUCCACGACCACCCCCUCCGCAAUGAUCCAAGUGGCAAGAGGCCCUCAAUGCCAUAUGCUGUAUGGAGACACGAGUCAUCAAGCGCAUUGAUCAGACGGAGCGGCUGAUGACGGAGCGACUAGACAGGCAUGAUCGCCAUCUUCGAGCGAUCGAGGAUCAUUUCCACAUUCGCCGCUCCCCUACACCGAUUCCUAAGCCAAGGCCCGAUGAGGGCAUGCAGAUCGUGAGGAGGGUGGCAGCAAUGCAGAUCAUGAGUUGGGCGGCAGCACUGAAGCGACUGAGCUUGGCGUCUCCUCUGCAUAAUUUACUUUCUUUUCAGCUUUUAUUUAGUUUUUCAUCUUUUAUUUUCGAUUUGGUGUUAACUUUUUGUUAUUUUUCUAUUUUUCUUAAAACUUGUGGAAUGGUCUCACUCUCUAUGGAUAUAUAUUUUUCCCUUCAUACAGAAUUUGGCUAGUAGAAUUUGGAUGAUCGUGAUGAUCGUGGUUUCAAAUUGCAUCACUACUUCUUUUGAGAGGAGUAUUAGUUUCUUUUACCUUCCUCUACAAUGAGGACAUUGUGAAUUUUAAGUGUGGGGGAGGGAUUACUUUAUCUUAUGGGGUGAUUGUGUUUUGAAGUGCAUGAUUUUAGUUAUUUAUGGCCUAGAAAUGUUGGAAUCAUAUUUGGAAAUAUUGUCAUGAAGAUAAUUUUCUUGAAAUUGAGGCUGUUGGCAGGGAGUUUUAUCCAUAUAUAUGGGGAAACUCUGUCAAAAUUUUUCUAAAAUAUUUUCCAAUAUUUCAUUGCAAUUCUUUCCAAUAAUGGCCGAAAUGUUCAAUUUUAAAUGUCUAAUUCUUCCAUUGGAUAAAAUGUUAUAUAUAUUUUGGAAAGUUUAGUCCUUAUUUGACUUGGCAUUAGUCAUUAUGCAAUUAGGAUUUUACAUUUUAGAAAGUAUAUUCGGUUAAAUAAGGAAAAUUAUGCUUAGAAUUUUGCAGGUUUAAUGAUAUUUCUCAUUUUUACUUAAUUUUAUAAGUAAGUGAUUGAUAUAGUCAAAACAAGGCCAGAUUCAUCCUUUAAUUAUGCUCAGAGGGAAAUUGAUUAUUAAAAAAAAAAAUUCUACUCCAAUGAUUCGCAUACUGAGUAACCGGGGGUUAGCAUUUACAAAUGUCGACAUUCGCGUAAAAAGGUAUUGGAAUUAAAAGUAUGCCUAGCAAUUUAAAUGAGUGAAAUGUUGAGUAACCGGGAAUCUUCACCUAAAAGUGUAGAUUUUCACGUAAAAAGGCAUUGUCACUAUUUAAGUAAAAUGAAGUAUAAAAAAUCCCUCUCAGUUAUGAAAAUUUUGAUGGAUAUAUGAUGAGAAAUGCCAUAGAAUUGACUAUGUGAUUUACUUAUUUGUGAAAUUAGGAUAGGAUGAGAGAUUGAGUUGAAAUUGUUAAAAUUAAGGUAUAAUUAUCUUUAUUUAACUUGAUAUUAUGAGUAUUUAGUGUAAUCUGAGAAUUGGUAUAAUGAUUGGUUUCUAGGUUUUGAGGAACUAAAAUUGACAAAAGUACGUAUAUUAUUUUAUCUCUUGAAUCAUUGUAGUAAGUUAUGUGUAAAAUUGCUUGAGGACAAGCAACGAUUCAAGUGUGGGGGAAUUUGAAAGAGAAUAUUUAACGUACAUUUUGUACAAGUUUGGCAUGAACUUUUGGUAUGUUUUGAGAAGAUUAAAACCAUAUUUGCACUCUUUUGGUGAUAAAUAUUUAAAUAUUGUUUAAGUGUUCAAAACUUGAUAAAUGAGUGGAUUAAUACGUUAAUUUUGUGAAAUUGUGAAGGAUAUUGAUAUAUGAAAUUCAUGCACGAGAUGAAGGAAAUGUAAGGAUCGUCCAGAGGAUAAAGUACAAAAGAAACUAGGAGCAAAAGUGAAGAAAAAGGAAAGAAGUGAAAAACUGGAAAUUGAUUAGCACGGAUCCGAGUUUGGAUCCGUGUGAACAAAGGGCGAUUCGAGCCCUCGUCUGUACUUCUGGAGCAGUGCAUCCAAGGCCAGACGAUCCAAGCUCGGAUCAUUAAGAGAAAGGCCUCGGAUCAGUCUUGAUCCGAGCUCGGAUCGUAGUGCACACCUCGGAUCCAAGGCUCGGAUCUACCUCUCUCUUCUGCAAGUGGCACAGCCAUUUUUUCUCAUUUUUCACACAACUUUUCAGCUAUCUUGGGUGAGAGAAUUCGGUGGCACAUGUUUCUGCAACAAAAAGGAAGACAAAAUGAGUUAUUGACAAGUCAAAACAACAUUUCUUUUGACUUUCUUUACAAAAUCUGAGUUGUUGGAAUCAUGAAGGAGAAGAAAGUGCCUUUCUACCACCUUUUAUGCAGAGAACCAAGAAGUCAGGCAUCACCAUAUGGAAGGAGUUUUUCAUCUUGUAACAUUUUUCUCUCUAGCUAGAAGUUCUAAAAACAAGCACUUGGAGAUUUCACUUGUAAUUAUCUUGUACAAGACAUAGCAGAAAUUUGAGGGUUUCAUCAUUAAUUGGCUACGCUUUUCUUUAUCUUUCUUGUACUUGUACUUUAUGAUGUUUUGCAUUAAUAAACUUGUGAGUUUGAUUGUUAUAUCAUUCAUGAGUAGCUAAAUUUCUUUAUCUAGAGAGUAGAUGAAACUUAUGGCUAAAUGAUAUGAAUUGAAUGUGAUUUAAACUUGUUAUAUCUUGUAUUAACUUGUCUAUUUGUGCAGUUGUAAUUACUUGUUGUUGUUUGAUCACCAAUAGCAUGUUUAUAGUUGUUAUUAAUCAAUGAGAAUUGGUAGUAACAAUGGAAAAAACAUGAGUAGAGCUUGAGUUGUAUGUUCAUGAAAAUAGAUGUACACUUAAGUGGAUUAGCUAGCAUUUCAUGAAGGAAAACAGAGUAGAACUAGUAUUUCACCAUGAAAAUAGGGAAAACUGGAUUGCUCUAGGCCAUUUUAUCAUGAGAAUGAGAUUUGGUAAUAUUGGAAAUGAAUCCCUGGUUAAACAACAAUAAUAACAAGAGAAAUUUAUUCAUUUGUGUUGUUUAUGCCAUAAGUGGAAUCUACAUCCCUAAAUUUAUUCUUGAGUGAAAUUUAUCCAUUUGCAUUUAGCAUUUGUUAAACUAGAUUUAUAGACAAUAGCAUUAUAAUUUCUCUACUCAAAUUCAUUUAUAAGUCUAAAUAAUAGAGAAAAUAAGGGUUUAGUACUUGUUUAAAUUGCUCCUCGUGGGAUCGACUCGAUAUAUACCUUACAUUAUGAUUUCGGCCUGUAUACUUGCAGGCAACGGGUAUAAAAUCGGAUUUAAACUUACAUUGAUAUAAAAAUCCCGUCACAUAUGUGAGAUCAAAUUAUUUUACUUAUUUCUUUUAUUCAUUGGUAUUUGUACAUUUUCUGAUUUAACUUCAUAUACUUGUUAUGUUAUUUGAAUGUCAAGGGCCCGAUAUUCGAAUUAACCUAAUAAUCUACUGUUAGAUUAAUUGAUUGAAUCCCUAAUUGUUCAAUUGAUUAAUACCAGUGGCAACUAGCGUGAUUGGUUUCAUGUUAGGGAAACGUAUGAUCUAACUUAAACGAACCCUCGUAGCGUGUUUGUUAAUUAAGGUUGGCUUUUCUAAUUCUUAUUGCAAUUGAGAAAUUAAAUCCUAUAGUCGUACCUAGGGUUAUUUUUUGGUUAGGAAAAUAGUUAAUGGUCGUACCUUGACUAUCGAAAAAGUAAGAAAAAGUUGGUUGUUUAUCGCGUGUAUAACAACUAUAACCAAUCUAUUAAUUAGUAAUUGAAUUAUCUUUGCAUCGAUGAUCAGUUGAAAGGACCAUGUCUGAAAAGUUGCACCUUUGGCUAGAGUUGUAUUGGUUAUUGAUUAAUUCCUGUUGAUUUCUAUUAGUUGUUUCAUUAGUUGAUUAAUUAGUUAUUUUAUAUUUUUCAAAAACCCCCCAUACUUCGGACUCUGGAAGAAAUGAAUUAUCCCCAGUCCCUGUGGAUUCGACCCUACUCACCGCUAUAUACAAAUUUGUAUUUUUCUUGAGUAGGUAAUUAUUAUUGCACAUGUUCAACACCUGUCAUUCUAUAACUGUAUACAGAGUCAUCUUUUUCAAAGAUUUCCCAUGCUGCAAAAUGUACUCUACGAGCUUUAUUUCAUCUUCCUCCCCUAUAAAUUGUCUGAUUCCAAUAUGCCUAAGAUGUUCAACAAAGCGUAAUGGGAAAACUAUUUGGAAAUGUAGAUUCCAGGUCCUUGUAUAUGCAAAGUCCUUCUUACACAACUUUACAUAUUGAGAAGAUCAAAAAUUGCAAAACAUAAUAAUACUUGAAAUUAGUGAGAAUAUAUCCAAAAGAAACAAAAUAUUAAUACCUGAAAUCAGGUUUUACAAUCUGUGCACAAAAAGCACCUAAACCCAAAUGGCCCAUGUUGGAAUAGACCAAGUUUAGUUCAACUGCAGAAAUUCCUAGUACAAUGGAACUGCAACUUCAACUUCAGUAAAUUGCAAGCUGAUAUUAUGAUUCUAUAAAUCCUAAAAUCUCCCCCAAGUCCUCUUGCCUCCAGCACAAAGUAUGUACAUAGAUGCUGACCUGUUCUAUACACUUGUAGGUAAAUUCAAAUCAGACGGCAUUCAAUAGAACUGCCUUGAUUUGGCUGCAUAUUAGCACUACUGCUCUUUAAAUCUAACUUGAUUAAGCUGCACAAAAAGGGAAGAUUACAUUCGAUGGAGAAAUUUUACUGAUUGCAGAUGAAAUAGGGGCUAAAAUCAACUAGGAAAAGCAGAGAAGUUAACCUCAACCGACGAGGAAACAAGAUGCAAAAGUCAGAAGUUGUUAGCUUAAACCUCAACCGAAAGAAAAAUGCAAUCUUUGAUAUUAAACACAUAACCCACAUAAGUUAGCUUCACAGAGUCCAGAAGGAUGGUUGGAACUCAAUUUUCCUAAAAUUGUGAGGAAAAUAAUGCAAUCUUAGAAAUCUAACACAAAUAAUGGUAAUAAAAACACACAAGAAGGGUAUGAAAACUUACAAAAUGGCGCCAAAAUAUAGAUCUAACAAUAUUUGAAGCAAAUGGAUGAAGCAUUGAAGUUGUUCUAAGAUUUUUGGGCAGCAAUAAAACCUAAGCUCCUUCACGUUUAGCAAUUCUUAGGAGAUAGACAGGAGGCGGGUCUUCUUUUUUAGCAAUUCCUCAGAGGUCUCCUUCCCGUUUAGCAAUUCCCGCAUAUGUUCUUCUAUUUUUGGACUAAAAACCACCGAUGUUGGCCUUUGAGAGAAGAACAGAUGCGUGCUUCUCAAUUGACAGAGACAAGAGAGGACCAACCUUUCUAUGUAUAUAUCCCUCAGCCUCUAACAAGCCUUUGAAUUUUGAUGGAAGGACGUUGCGGGAAAAAUAAAAUUCUUGGAGGGAAUAAAACGCGCGUCCUAAAUUCUGAUUUAAGUUUUGUUGUUAAAAGUUUCUAAGAAUUGAAGUAUAUUAUAAUAUAUAUAGAAUAAAUAUUGAGUAUUAGAAGUAUAUAAUUUGAAAGAAAUCAUGUGAGGACUCGAAAAUUUUUAUUAUUUUAAAAUCCCUAAUUUUGGCUCAAUUAAUUAAUUAUUUGGAUUUUUAUCACGAAUAAUAUUUUCUAGCCUUAUUAGACCGAAGUACAUGGUUUUAUAGAUUCGUUAUAUUUUUAAAGCACCUCAUUUCAAAAAAUUAUUAUUUUUUUUAAAAAGCUUGUUUAGCGGAAAAGUGAAAACGUGUCUAAACACUUUAGCCAAUUGGGAGUACAAUAAGCUCAAAAUUUGAGACCUAUACAAUGGUCCUAAAAUAGACAAUUUUAGGUUUAAUUAUACAAGUGAUAGCUAGUGGUACAAUCGUUAUAAGAAUUUUUCAAAGGUUUCAAUUUUUAUUGCGCCUAAAUUAGAAAUACGUGUUUGCACGUGCGCGCUUAAUUGAGGGACUUUGGACCAUUAUUUUGGGACAAUUAAGAAUGGAUAAUAUUUAUAUAAAUGUAAGUACCCUAGAGGUUUAGUGCACUAGUGCAACAAACGUAAGAGAAAUCGAACACAAAACGCGCGCGUAGGGUACUAGUUAUAAUUGAUUUGACGUAUUAAAAGAUUUGACGUCAAGCGUCUUUCGUACGCAAAGGCUUCAGAACCGCAGCUUCAUUUCAAUCUCAUUUCAUUUCUGCAAAGCUUCAUGGACGGCUAGACAGCAAGAGACAACCGAGGCUUCACCAUUUCUUUCUUCCAAAACUCAUCCAAAUCCUUACCAAAACUUCCAUAGAUUCUUACCAAUCUCCACAUUCAUUUAGCUUUUCACUUGGACGGCAACUUAGCUGCAAAAGGAAGGAGCUAUCCACGGUUUCUUCAAGCUUCAAAGGGGCCGAAAAAUCUGUCCAAACCAGUCAUCAAAGUAGGUACUAAUCAAGCACCUUGAACUUGUCUUAUGGAAGUUGAUCUAUGCAUUUGAGUUGGAAUCUUCACUAUAGUAGCUUGUAUUGUUGGAAACGUGGGCUCUAUGAACUCCCACUUUGGGUUGAUGGCUGUGAUGAUGUUUGAUGAUGGUUUUAUUGCUGAAUUAGAGCUUAAGGAAGUAGAUUAAAGGUGUAUUGUGGACAGAAACGUUGUUGAACUCUUGAAGUAAAAAGUUCCCAUUUUACCCCUGUUCUGUUCGGUCAUUUUAAUGCAGAAACUGAGGAUUUAAUGGCCUGAUUAUGUUGAUUACAUGUUGCAAAAGUUGUGUACAAAAUUUCGUUGGAAAAUAUUGAGUUGUGGUUGAUCAAACGAAUUUAUUUCAAAAACUAGUAAUCUGGAAAACGGUUUCGCCGUAAUCCAGACCAGUGUUUGUAUUUCGUCCAUAACUCCGUACUCCGACUUCGAAAUCAAGUGCCGUUAGCGGCAUUUGAAACUAGACGUUCCCAUGUUUCCAACGGUGUAUAAUGGACCUUCUGGUUUCGUGUGUGUGAGCCACACCAUUCAUCUGAAGUCGACUGUCCUGUUUCUCCGUUCUGCCGAAAUGAUUUGAUGAUGCUGCAACUUUAGGCUUGAUUUUGAACCAGUUGCAUGCUGAAACUUAAAACGAUUUCUUCUGUGAAGUUGUAGCCCUAUGAAUCUAUUUUCUAACACUAUCAACCAUUUCCAAUUCCGAGUUAAAUUGAGGGAGUUAUGAUCAAUACACGGCAACUGCCUCGUUUUUGAAAACCUUAGUUUUGGACCGGCUCAAUCCUGGUAAUCUAGAACAGCAACUUUAGGCUCAUUUUUGAAUACCAUCCACUUAGAUUCAUGGAAUGAUGUCUUCUAAGGACUUUUAGUACUUUUGAAGACGAUUCCAACGGUACCAAAUUCAUCAAGUUUCGAUUAGUAGAAAGAAAGUUAUGAUUUUUCAAAGAUUUGACCAAAAAUCAAAAAUUCUGGAAUUCCAGAGGAAAUCCGCGAAGGAACAAUUUUACCAGAAUCCGGCCUUGAAUCCGGCCAGUUUCUGGACGGAUUGUCGGCCGGAUUGGUGGUCAAAUUUGAAAAAAAGGGAGGUUACCCACGGCCAGAAAUCCGGCCGGAUAUCCGGCCGGAUUGUGACGUGGCCAACCCUCCUUCGAUUUCGAUCGUUCGUUUUGCAAUCCUUUCGCUCGUACUCAAUUCCAACCAAUGAUUUUAAGGAUAAUAAUCCGAUUUUCACUUAAGUCCUACACCCUUUUGAGAAUCCAACUUAAUAAACAAGUCAAACGAAGUUUUCAAAUAUUUCCGAACCUUACCCGUGCCCAAUCUUUCUCACCACUUGGGGACCUAUAAUAAUUGUCUACUAUUCGAUGUUCAGGCACGCACGAGGACCUCCAAGAGGAUCCUACCGUGGAAGUUUGAACUCUCCCUCCAACCUACUUACUUGCAUAACUGGUGAGUGUCAAGUGUAUGCCUACUUGAACUCUAAAGUCUUGAUUCAUGAUUGACUUACCUGAUUAUAUGCUCGGUCUAUUGGAUUUUGAAAAAUGGAGUCGAGUGUGUACUUAAUCGCACUCGUUCUCAUUUGGAACAAAUGACUCAUGUUUGACAUGCUUUGCAUGGUUUAUAUGACCUGAAAUACAUGUUUGAACCUGUCAAAUGCUUGAAUUUAUGAAAUGGUAUGCUAUGAUUGCAUACGUCGAUGGAGUGAAUCUCCUCGACAUUUACAUGAUACACGGGGGACGCCCAAACUCAUAGGCCGACCUUGGAACUCGAGCCGGCAUGGGCCUGGUCGGGAACCUUGGUGAGCCAUGAGAAUUACAUGAUAAGCUUGAUCUAUUUGAGAGAUCUCGCUUGGCAUACUCGUGAAGUAUCGCCUUAUAAGUGUCGUGCGGGCCCGAAGUGGUGUAUGGUGGACGGAUGAGAAGUAAGUGGUGAACUACGGAUAUGAAAAUAUCAACCUGGUUGACGGAGAGUCAUCACGGGGAGAUAUACAAAUGACAUCGGCAAAUGUGGAACUUAACUCCUGAGAGCUUCCAUAUCCUUGAAUUGUUUCUGGUUACAUUUUGUCGGCGUUAUUACUUACUUGCAAGUGAUUACCUGAAUUGUUAUUUGGGGCUUGUUAUUUGAAUUAUGUGUCUGCAUGUGUGUUCUUGGCCUCACGAGCGUUUUUGCUCACCCUGUAGAUUUGUUUUCCUUAACAGGUUUGAACUCGGAGGUAAAAUGGAGAAGCCCUCUGAUGUACUUUUGUUUAGGGCUUGUUAUUACUUUUGGUUAUGCCUUUGGUUUUGAAAUUUUACUUUUGGUAUGGAAAUGUAACCCUUGGACGAAAUGAAAUCUGUAUUCUGACGUGUGGUUUGGUGAAUGGAUGACUAUUAUUAGGUUUGAAUACUUCCGCAUUUAUUGUAUUUAAGUUAUUGGCUUUUGUUGUGUGGUCCGGCUAUAACUUGAAUGGAAUUGCUUGAGUCCUGGCGAGAGUUAGGCAGGCGUUCCGCGGAUACCCUUUGGUUCGCCUUAGGGAGAAGUGGGGGCGUCACAAAUCAUGUAUGAGAAAAUGAAACUAAUGAAAAUAUUCAUGUGCAAUCAAUAUAAUAAAUUGUCAUCUUUAUAAUUUUUAAGUUUGCAAUUCAUAAAUAUGGUAACAAAUAAUGUAAUUCAUGUGCAAUCAAUAUAAUUAUAUUGUUAAUUAAGGUUAUAAUUGUGCUAUAUAAAGUAUUUGGGACAAUUUGAAAAAUAUCGAGAAAUUUGGGACUACUUAUAAUAUAUUCAAAAUGUAUUUUGAUUAAACUAUACAACUUGUCCUUUCUUGUUGUAAAUCCAAGUUCAAUUAUGGAACAAUAUACAUGGAAAAGUUGACCUUAUAUGUGUAUAAAUCAUCUUAUUAAUAAAAUAAUUAAACACAAUACAUUUAGUUAACUAUGAUUUAGUGAUUGAUUAUUACAUCAUUUUUUAUAUAAUACGAUAAUUAAAUAUUACAUAUAUAAUAAAAUGUUUCAAAUAUAUUUUAAUUGAUCAAAAAAAUGGUAUACUUACAAUAAACAAAUAAUUAAAGAAAAUUUUGAGAGUAGAAUUUUGUGCUAAAAACGUGUAUUUUGGGUUCAAAUUUAUAACCCACCACUUAUCCACUUAGAAUUAGCAAAAGUAUUAAUUCAUUUCUAAAUACUCUAAACCAUACUAAUUUAUUAUAAUAAAGACACAAAACACUAGCUCCAUGUGAUAACCUAUAGCAAAAAUCAUCUAUUCACUUUAGUAAAAUAUAUGAGUCAAAUUUAAAGAUUCAUCAAAUUUUCUAGGUUUUAAAAUUGGGGUGCGUUAUUUACAUGGAUUUAAAGCUGUCUGAAUAUAGUUUACUACGCAAUAAACGGCACUCAAUUUCGAGUUUUCUACACAAAGAUAUGGCCAAAAUACUAAAAUUAUUACUUAAUUUUUUGAAAAAUAGUAGGAUCGUAGGAUCAUAUGAUCCGGAUCACGAUCAUAUUGAUCUUGUUAAUUUAAUGCUAAUUUUUUAUCCUACUUACAAUUUGGAUCGUUAACCAUGAUCCGUAUCGUAGGAUCGUAGAUCGCGAUUCUAGCAACUAUGGUUGUAGCUAAAAGUUUCUAAGAAUUGGAGUAUAUUAUAUAAUAUAUAGAAUGAAUAUUGAGUAUUAGAAGUAUAUAAUUUGAAAGAAAUCAUGUAUGUGAAAAAUGCAACUAAUGAAAAUAUUCUCAAUAUACAGCUGAAAAAAUAACUAAGUUUGAUAAAUUUGCAUUUAAUUUUUAGAUAGAAGUUUGUUGUAUGAUAUGUAAUUGCCAUUUCUUGAAAUUAUUCUUCACUCUUAUACCUUCACUAAACUUCAAAGAACUUAGCUACACAUAAAAUAGAAUGAAAGGAAUGCUUUCAAGUGUGCUAGUAAGUAAAUAUUUAUACUAUAUCUGUGCUAAUACGUGUCCAUAUGUAUAAUUCAAAAGUUUUAUGUAUUUCAUAUACGAAUAUCUUUUUUCAAGUAACUGCAUAGAACACUUGAUAGGUUGUAUUUUUGCCAUUAAUUUUAUGAUUAUUUCCCUCUUUAUUUUACCAAAUAUUGUAUUAAUUGAUAGAUUCUACUUAUAUUUGGUGCUUUAUGUUAAUUAUAGGACGUUGGGGUAAAAAGUGCUAAAAAAGGGUGAUUUUCUUGGAAUUGAUUGUCACUCGCAAGUUUCCCAAUUCAAGAUGAAGUCUACGUGGAUUAUUUGUGGAAGAUUAGGAAAUUACCAUUUUUCUUAGAUAUUUUAUUUAGAAAACAAUUGGCAUUAUUCUUGGAGUUACCUUUUUCAAUUGACCCGCUUCCGAAGUUACUUCCUUCGUUAGAGCUCGUUUAUCGUUGAUUUAAAUUUAAUCUGUUUUAGUUUAAUUAUUUUCAAUUUGCAUUGAUUAUUUAUUUUUAAUUGCAAUUUUCCAAACUCCCCCCCCAAUUAAUUGUCACUUGGAAAGAAGCAAAUUUUCACUCAAAACCUUGAGUUUAUAUCUUUUUGAGUAGGAAUUUAUUAUUACACAAGUCUGACACCUGUCAAUUAACACAAGGUUUCAAGCAAUGCACAGUUUCUUUUGUACCUAGAAUAGCUAAUGUAGCAAGUCAUAUGCUAGCACAUUUUGCAACAUAACUAGUUUAUGAUAUAGAAUGGGUACAUGAUUUCCCGAUUUGACUAAUAGAAGGGUGAAUGCCCCUUUUUGUAAUUAACUCUUGCACUUCAAGUGUUAACAUAUAUACUGAUUGUUGAAAAAAAAAGGAAAGUGUUUAUUUGUUUAAUCAAAUAGUUAUGGUAGUGUUUAUAUAAUUUCGUAAACAUUGAAAGGUAAAUGACCUCGUUGAAUUUGUAUAAUUUGAUUAUGUUGAAGAAACAUAUAAUCUUGGAAAAGCAGAGAAAUUUUCUAGUAAAUAUUAGAUAAACAAACAAGUCAUUAUUUUAUUUUGAUAGCUAAUCAUUGUUCAUAUCAAUAUACUAGCUAUAAAGUUAUACUCGCAAUACUACUAUUACGGUAUAAAAUUUCUUGUCAGAGCAAUUUAUAAUUUCAUCCCAUUUUUACCGUUGACUGUUAACCUCAAGUUCUUCGGAUAUCCAUGGGACAGUGUAACCCCUUUGAAGGUCAAUUCUUAUUGUUGAUGUGGCGUGUCCCACAUCGGAGGCUGCAUAAGGAAGUUUUCUUCCUUUUGUCCCACAUCGGCAAUCAAGAAGGAAAGCCUCCCCUUGUUUACCUAUAAAUAAGGGGGCUUAGUGGUGAAGAAAAGUGCACCACUCAAGAGAGUUAUAUGAGCUAUUAGCUUUUUGAGUCAUUUAUCCCAUUUGUAGUCAAAUGUUUUAUGUUCUCUUGUUUUGAGUUUAGGAAUAUUUUCUAAACUUUUUAUGAGUGCCUUUUGGCCUAGGAACCACUUUUCUACGGCUUUUGUAUAUCUUCUUCAUAGUGAAAGAUUUGCUCCUCCUCUGUCCAUGGACGUAGGUUAAUUUGACCGAAUCACGUAAAUUUCUGUGUCUUUUAUUUUGUUUUGUUAUUUGUAUUUAUUGGGUUGCCACAACCCUUUUAUAUGGUCAGUCUUACAGCCUAAAGUAUUAUAUGGUCGAUUUUAACUCCUAAACAUUAUAUGGUCGGUUAUACCGCCUACUUUGUGCUAACUUCAGUUUGUUUAUUUCUGGACCAGUUCUAACACUUACACCCUCAUCAAAGUUUCUGGAGUUGCGUAUUAUAGGGGUGCAAACACAAAAACGAGACAUUCUUAAUCAGAUGGAGUUCCUUCUUUUUGCGAUUCAUUCCUCUGCAAACCUCCUCCUCCUCCGAUUUUAAUAUAUGCCACUGUUAAAAUAGGAUACUUUUGUGGGUUUAAGAUUAGAUCGAGACGAACUCUUUUGUGCAAAACAUUUGCCCCAGGCAUCGUUACUACAGAGUAUGUGAUCCAAUUACCAAUGUAAGGUCACAAUGUUAGAGAUGUGAAAUUAUAUUGCAAUGGUCCCUAAAAUCCAACUUGAUCGAUAGGAAUACUAAUUAGGUGAAUACGAGGACUGUGAUUCGACUCUCGAUCUUUCCUCUCAAAUUACAGUAAUAUUUUUAAUCAUACACUCAUCCCCUUACUAACUUCCUAUGGGCCCAAUAUGUUGAGUAGAAUUCGAUUGGAACAACCGAAAAGAAAAGAAAAGAAAACAAAUACAAAACAAUGAAAUAGAGACUUAGUUAGUCAAGUUGGAAGCUAUGAGGAAGUGAGGAGCACAAGUGCGAACAGAUCACCAAGGAAAAAGAAACAAGUUUUUCGAGAAUGCAAUUUGAUUUCAAGCUCAAUCAUAUUCUAAGAGUCAAUGAUAAGAUAGAAAAAAUGUAGGUCCAUUGUUAAGAUAUAGACGGAGAUGGUUGCUUAUUGAGCGUUGGAAGUAUUUCAUAUGCAAGUUGUAAUUAUAUCUCAACUUGUAUAAUUUUAAUUUAAUAAGGUUAAAUUAAUGACCAUGUCAAUGAUUUAUGCGUCAUGCAUGACAUUCUUUUUUCUUGUACUCUCCCAAAAGCUGAAAAUUCUCGUCUCAAUCUCCUCCUCCACCGAUGGCUGCAUGUCUGUACAUGUUUCCCCACAACAAGAAUAAUGAAUCAAUUGCCAUAAUUGCACGCAUUUAAAUUUUCUGAGCUGGUGAUAAAUUGCAUAGUUUUGAUUUUUUUCUAUUUCCGGUUCCCACUCUAGCUACUUCUAGAUUUAUUAAUUGGAAAAAAAAAGAAGAAGGAAUAAAUUAAACCUUAUUUAAUUACUUUUUUAGUCAGGAUAUCUAUAGUAGAUGUAAUUAUCUCUAUAGAAAUGAAUGAAGCAUCCUAGCUUGUGAUCAUUAUCCUCUGUUGCAAUUCUCUUGUUCAAACUUCAAGUUAAGGUUUGUUUGCUAAUUUAAUGGAUUCAGAACUUAAAUUUAAUGGAUUCAAAUCUUAAUAUAUUCAAAUGCUUUUGAUAACCAAAACUUCAAUAUCUGAAUUAAUUAAGUGACACUAAAUUUUCUAGACAAAACUUACUCCUAAAAAUAAGUGAUAAACUAUUUACUUAUCACUUAAUGUGAUAUAUACUCAAAUGUAUCAGAUUUAGUACAUAACAAUUUAAUAACUUAAAGAAUUCAGACUUCAGAUUUCAGUUUUAUCAAACGCAUCUUAACUCAGUGCAAACUGAAUAUGAAAUCCAAAGUGGAAAAUCCAAGAGGUUAGAACUUUGAAACCAUAGGGCCUCUAGGCAAAUUCAGCAUUUUUACAUUCUACUGAUUUAGGGCAUCUUCAAUUAUCAGUUUCAACUCCAUGGUAUAAUAUAGAUAUUACCUCUAAUAGUUGUACACACUUACGCAACAAAUAUAGAUUGUGAAAUUAAUUGUAUAAGUUUGAUAUUUUGUAGGUUUUGGGAUAUAAUUUUCACGUUUAGGAAAAAGAAAAUAUGUUAGUAAGUAAUAAUGUGAUACCCCUUGUCCCACGUUGGAAGUGGGAGAGGAAAAGGAUUGAUAUAUAUACAAGAUUUGGUCGCAUAAGUUACUAGUUACUUGGGCUAACCAUGUCGGAAAGUGUAUUUCGACACAAAAAUUACUUAGGCCAACCAUGGGCUUGGAUGGUGAUAAAUAACUUACUAGAAGCCAGGCAUAUUUAUGUUUAGAUGUCCUAAAAGCAGAGUAGUUCAUAAUCUAGAUAAUGGUAACGAUAUGAUGAGAAUGUGAAGUUAUUUGGUAAACUUUAUAGAUUAAUAAUUUCAUCAAAGCAUCAUAUACAAGCAUGAUGACACAAUCUCAACUUUCAUUCUUUUGUUAAAUCUUAGUUUUUUUCUCUUAAAUUUUUUCGAAUAAAGGAAGGAUGGAAUUUAAGCAGUAGAGGGUGGAAGGGGAUUUUGAAUUCAAAAUCUCUAAUUUCUAAGUUUUUCCCUAAGCAAUCGUCAAAAUAAAAAAAAAAUUUAAAAGAAAAAAAAAUGAGCACCUCAUGGUCAAUGCUCCUGUUCGAAGAUUUAUUCCUUUGGUUUGUCAUCAUCUCCCUCUAUGAAAUCUAAGUACCCUUGGUUGACAAUUUGUUUCCCUGAGCAUCCAUCAACACUUUUAUAUAGUAUUUUUUUUAAUAUAGUAUUAGAUUAGAUUAGAUUAGAUUAUCAAUGCACCAUCAAUAUAGUAUUAGAUUAUCAAUGCACCAUCAAAACACUUUUAUAUAGUAUUAGAUUAGAUUAGAUUAUCAAUGCACCAUCAAUAUCCUUAAAUAUAAAAGCUUAAGUAUAGUAAUCAAAAUACUGUUAGUAAUCUGUACGAUUAUUUUUUAUCCUUUAAUGUUUUAGUUUUAGGAAGAUCACAAAUGCUGCGUAUAAAGCAUGCCAUAGGCUAAAUUAAGCUAAAUUAAGUACACUGCUAAAAUGGAGAGCAUUGCUAAAUUAAGUACCUUAAGAUAAAGACAUAAGCAGCCAGAUCCAUUUGAUGUCAGCUGCUUCAAUAUCCACCUCAAAAUAAAUUAGCCUUUGUUCUAGAUUUAGCUUAAUGCUAAGUCCCUUCACCAUUCUUAGUAAUAAUUCAAUUCUGCCUCAAUUUUCUUCUGAUCUUCAAGGUAAAUGUACGAUAAAUUUCAAAAUAUAUCCCAAAUAUAUGAAUUUCUUGAAACCAUCCUUGAAUCUCAUUACCUACUCAACAAAAUGUUCCAUAAACAUAAAGAAUUGACGAGAACAACAGGGCUCCUUAGAUUUAACAAUUUCAAAUAAGCCCAAGCUAGAAUUUUUCAUAUAUUCAAACAAGAAAUUGGAAAAAUCUGACUAGCUUGCAACGAGUACUACAUCUCAAGACAAAGGAUCUUUUCAGUCACUCUUUUAUUGUAUCGAAAACCUACUUGCAUCUAUGAAUAAGCAAUACUGUGUGAUUUUAGAUGUGAAGCUAAUUCCAUGUGGUAGGACAACUUUGGUUUAAAAAAUAAGGGCAGUCCAAUUCACUCAAUACAAAAAAUAUUUUUAAAUGAUGAUAUUCACAGGAACGUCUAUCUUACUUAAACAAACAAACAAAAAAAAAACAAUAAAAAGGAGAUUGAUUUAGAAAUGUCCGGAGACUUGAGACAUGGACGCUUCAUUAGUCAAUAAUAAUAAAGUCCGGAGACUUGAGACAGGGACGCUUCAUUGAGACUGUUGUGACCAAUUCAGCCCAUAUAGGUAAAAGAAAUGGAAUAAAUCGACAAGAAAUGGUGUCAUCACAUUUUAUUCCACAUUUACCCUUAUAGACCCUAAAAGAAAUAUUGUAACAUAGGACAAACUUUGUCGCUCCGAAGUUGAAUCACUUUUCUAUUCUAUAUACUAAACUUCAAUUUUGGACACUUUGCAUCUGGUUGGAGGCAAAAGCACAGGAAAGCCCUUUUUGAAUGGAAAUAGCAUAAAAGUCUUAGUGAAUGAACAAAUUGAAUAGACCAUUUUGCAGAGCUGUGAGAUAUUCCAAAGCCGUGAAGCACAGUGAUAAGCUACAAAUUAUAGUGGUUUAUAUUUAUUAAUUGUCAAUGAAUGGUUGUAUUUGAGCUAUAAUUUGAAUGGAUGUUGCCUAAUUUAAGUAUAUGUUGGUUUUUGUGGGAAAAGCACGCGAUUGAGGAGGAAAUGAAUCGAAAACGCAACAAAAGGGGAAGAAACGUUGGGUUGCCAAGACACAAGGAUCCGCGGGUGGAUCCUGUGUCCGACGCCAAACAUUGAAAGGGACUUUGCGAGGACUUCUUCUAGUUCUAAUGAUUGGAAAACCCACUAAAACUCGAUUUUUGGCAAGUUUCAAGACCCAUUCUUACCAUAUUUCGGAUACAACUUUCAAGACCCAUUCUUAGUUCAUCAUUUUUAUAUCUUCUUUUCUUGAGAGAUCACAAUGGAAUUGUUGAAGAAUCAAAGGAAGUUCAAGAUGGAGAUUGGAGCGGGGAAAAAUUAAGAAGUUUUCUUUACUUUUAACUUCUUAUUUUGUCUUUCAUUUGAAUUCUUGGAUUUAUCUAUGAAUAUGUUGAACUCAUUUAUAUCUAAAGUUAGGAUUUUGUGAAGGAGAUUUAAUUAUUUGUUCUAGAUAAAUUAUUCGCUUUUGCUUAGAUUUAUUUAUCUUGCCUUUAUUACAUGUUUAUGUUUUGCCACUAUAGAUAUGCUUUUAGGAUUUGUAUUGAGUUGAGAAGCGAUAUACAACCGUACAUUAGAUAGAUAAACAUACUUAGUAUAAUCAUGAAAGUAGGUUAAACAUUGUAUGGCAUAAUUAUAUCACCUAAGAUUUUAAAAGAUUUAAUUAAAUACUUAUAAUCUGAAGAGCAUCGUGAGAUUUAUUAGACAAAUUUAGAAGUAUCAAGAGAUAAUCUAAAGUACUUUUACGUGAUACGUCUUUGACUUGUCAAGAAAAUAAUUGGAUAUAUAAUUCCAAUUCUGAAUCAAAAUUUGAAACUCUGUUUUUUGCUAAUUGUUUUCUCACCCAUAUCUUGUUUGAUUUGAUUAUUUAUUUAAUUUCUUAAUUAGUGAUUAAAAACCCUCUGAAUUUAAAUUUUGUUAUUUUUAUUAGAGGAAUUAAAGUAUGAAAAAUUAACUCACUGCUGCAGGUUCGACCCUACAGUACUUCAAGGGAAUUAUUAUUACGAUCGACCCUGUACAGUUAUAGAAAUUCAUCGAUCACACAGCAACUAAAAAAAAUUAAUGCACAAUAAUGUCAUGAGCAGAAACAGUUCGCAUCUUAGCUGUUCAUCAUUCACGUAGAUUUCAAUUAGUGGUCAACAAAUAAAGGCAUCGAAAAAAGUAAUCCAACUAGAUAAGUGAAUUUAUACUACAACAUAUUUCUUUUUUCUACCGCAAAAACUUAACUAAUUUACGACAAUGUAGUCCAAGCUAAUUGAAGAUUAAUUUUCCCUAAAAAAUGUUCAUGAUAAAAACUCGACAAAGAGAUAAUACAACAGCUUACUUUUGGAGAUGAUCUUAUACGGUAUUUAUUAACAAACCAAUGAGGAGCGACAAAAUGUACAUAGGUUCCCUCCAUAUAUUAGCCACUUAAGCCUUUUUUUUUCCUUUUGGGACUACACAUGACAAAAUGAGGAGUGAAUAAGUCACUUAGCAUCAAAAAUUUUCCCUCCAUAUAAUUAGUUCAACCUGAUUUAAGACUAAAUUUUUACUAUAGGAAUGUUAGUGAUUCAACAAUGAAACACCAUAGAAACUUAUUUUGGGAGAUUGUCCUAGAAGAUAAAAAAUGAGCAACCAAUCAGAAUCCAUUCAGUCUAAUUAAUUCACCAGCUAUGUAUAUUUCAUCCAUUUUCACAUUAUAGAAAGAACAAUAAUGCAUGGCUUUAUCCAUCAUAAAUUGCUCGUAUAACAUCAAGAUAUUCAUGGUGUGGACCGCAAAUGGCUCGUCAUGUCUACUGGCUACAUUUUAAACAUAUCUUAUGGCCAGAAUGAUCAUCUUAUCAACUUAACGAGUUUAUUCAUAGUACCAUACCAUUAAUUUAAAAAAGUUUCAACCUUUUACCUUCUAUAGAUGUCAAGGAAUAUAGCUAAUAACGCACUUUUGGCAGCAAUCUUCCUUCACCCAAUUAAAGAUUUUCGGAGCUUAAAGUUCAGCUCCUAAAGCUCUUCUCCAAGGCUCACCAACCAACAGAGAAAUUACUUUUAGCAAAGUUGUUAAAUUUUGGCAACAGGUUUUGAUGGCAUCUUGGUAAGAUUGGAAGAUUAUACUGCGCUUCUAAGAUAAUGUUUAAAAAAGCUAUUUUAGUGAGGGCAUUAUGGUCAAUUUGCCCCUGAUGAUAUUGACAUUAGGUCCCAUCAACAUCAGAAGGGAGCUCAUUGUAUUAUUGGAUAUAACAAGGGUGCUAGUGAAAUUAUGAAAACCCCAAGGGAGGUUUUUGAAAUUAACCCUAAAAUACUCAUUCCACGCGAGGCGUGGCGUUCCCCUCCUAGUUCCUAUAAAUAGGGCACCAACUCAAUGCACUUAUCACUCGAUAUCAAUAAUUUAGCACAUUAUUUACAUUUUGAGUGAGAUUGUGAUCAAAUGGCAUCUUCAAAAAAUUUGCUCUUUCUUAUUGGUGUUCUCUUUGCACUUGUGCUCCUCAUUUCCUCUGAUGCAGCAGCUGCAGGUGCCUAGUCCUUUUUUUUUUUUCCUUUCUUCCUUUUUUUUUUUGGCUGCACCUAAACACUUAAAUGAAUGGAGAUUUGGAGACUCAUUAUUGGGAUGUGAAUUUUUAUGGAAGUCUAUUUGCAUAUUAUCUAGCAAGUCAUAUUAAUGUGCUAAUAUCUUUUUCAUUGUUUAGCAAAAGUAAAUUUGGGUUGCUUCUAUCAAUGGUUAGUGGCACAUCUGAUUUUUCAUGCAUCCUUAUAGUAUUGCUGUAAGGAUACACGUUCCAUAGUGUCGCACCAAAGAUUAAACUAACGUUGAAAACCAAAUUAAAUGCUUCUAAUUAUAAUUUAAAGCAAAAUAAUUCAUAUCCAAGUCGCACCAUCUUAUAUGCCUGGACUGUUUUGUUUAAUCCAUAUUCUUUUCUUUGCAUAUAUCUUGCAAAUUUUCAGCCUAGCCGGUCACCUAACGUUCGCAGCUUAAGAUAAAGCUCCAAAUAUUUAUGUCUCCUUGUGUCUUGAAACAGAUCAGAAGAGCAAUAAAACCACUGGUGUCCACGAUGCCAGUUCAGGCGAGGUUCAUCAGGAUAGCAUAAGCGAAGAUCGUUGCACAUAUGGUUGCUGCCGCUGGUACAAUGGAUAUUGCCAAAGAUGCUGUCCACCUCGUGAGAAUUGCAGAUAUGGUUGCUGCAGCUGGUACAAUGGAUAUUGCCAAAGAUGCUGUCCACCUCCUGAGAAUUGCAGAUAUGGUUGCUGCCGCUGGUACAAUGGAUAUUGCCAAAGAUGCUGUCCACCUGCUGGGUAGACCCCUGAAGCUACAUCCGGAGAUGAGGUCAAAAAUUAAUGCUAAAUAAAUAAGGGUGUGACACAGGAUCCGUGACACCUAUAUUAUUACCUUAAUAUGUUAUGUUGUGUUUG
This 43222-nucleotide long non-coding RNA is filed under the name Coffea arabica (coffee). Its description in RNAcentral is "long non-coding RNA (CARA_LNC002491)". The record is from RNAcentral. Lineage: Eukaryota; Viridiplantae; Streptophyta; Magnoliopsida; Gentianales; Rubiaceae.